UACGGAGGAUCCAAGCGUUAUCCGGAUUUAUUGGGUUUAAAGGGUGCGUAGGCGGCUUAUUAAGUCAGUGGUGAAAGCCUACAGCUUAACUGUAGAAUUGCCAUUGAUACUGAUGAGCUUGAAUAUACUUGAGGUGGGCGGAAUGUGUCAUGUAGCGGUGAAAUGCUUAGAUAUGACACAGAACACCGAUUGCGAAGGCAGCUCGCUAAAGUAUGAUUGACGCUGAUGCACGAAAGCGUGGGGAGCAAACAGG
This 253-nucleotide unclassified non-coding RNA is filed under the name uncultured Sphingobacteriales bacterium. Its description in RNAcentral is "contains 16S-23S intergenic spacer region". It matches the Rfam family "Bacterial small subunit ribosomal RNA", at positions 524 to 776 of the family's 1533-position model. Lineage: Bacteria; Pseudomonadati; Bacteroidota; Sphingobacteriia; Sphingobacteriales. The record is from RNAcentral.